RNAcentral lists this long non-coding RNA (1117 nucleotides) under Anas platyrhynchos platyrhynchos (common mallard). RNAcentral describes it as "lncRNA (ENSAPLG00000019782.1)". Lineage: Eukaryota; Metazoa; Chordata; Aves; Anseriformes; Anatidae. The record is from RNAcentral.
GUUUUCUUUGCUCUUGACAAAAAGAUAAGACACAAGAACAACCACGAGCUUCUGACUCACCAGGAAGAAAAAGCAUGUUUUGUUUGUUACAGUAAAGAUUAACCUAAUAGCUAUAUCUUUUAUGUGUUUUUGGAAAUUUCCAGAAUUACUUCAAAUGCGACUGCCUUCAGAAAUUCUGAGAACACUUUCUGGAUGAAGUUAGAAAUCAGUGGCAGUUACAUGCAGGACCAGGAACAAACUGCUGAUUUGAGCCAAGUUCUAAAAAGUGAUAUAUCAGGAUCAGUGGUCCUCAUUACUCUCUGCGAGGACAUGAUAAAAAGGGAGACCUCUCAACUUAAGGACAUCCAUUGAAAAGGAAGUAGAAAAACAGCUGGCACAUCCAUGCAGCUGAAGUUUAUUUUUGCCACACUUGUCAAGUCCAAACUGUCAUCCAAGCUAGGAUCAGCACCCAGCAGUGAGAGCAAGCAUAGGUUCAUUGACACAUUACCAGCUACUCUCAAGCUGUCAGAUCCUUUCAGGCUGUGAAUAAUAGCUGGGACUCCUCCACAUAGCAGCAUGGAAUCAGCAUCCUAAAAGGACAUAUAAUAUUUGCUUCUGUUUCUUAGUGAUCAGAAGGAGCUGAUCCUGGUUUCUUGAGAGCUUUUCUCACAGAAUCAAAAGCAGAAAGCUGAAGACUGCGUUUAGUUGUCUGACCUUUGAGGGAAGGAGCCAGGCCAGAACAAGUCUGUGUUUACAUUUCCCAGUCAGGGGAGGAAUGACAAGAUUGGUAAGGGUGUUAGAAGUGUGAGAGAGCCUUCUGGUUUAUGUUAUGUUGACCACUAUAGACAGCUUCGCUUUUCCUUCCCUUUUUUCCCUUGAGAAAAAAGUUGUUUUCUACUGAGCAAUUAUGGAGGAACAAAUGCAAGCUGAGAAGAAUGAAGUGUGUGUGUGAGAGAGAAGGACUGAGACUGAGUAUUUCAUAGUAUAGGCCCAACCUUGUUUUUUUUCAGCUGAUCCAGAAUCAGUGACAGAUCCUGAUAUAACCUUGAAGGUUAUGUGGCAUUUAGAAAUUACUGCUCUCUGUUAAUCCAUGGCCAACAUAAUUUGAUCCUAACCAUGGAUGCAUGCUGUAAGGCUU